AAAAAAGAUUCCUGCACCCCUUGUUAUCAGAACUGCGGGGACACGGGAAGGGAAGCAGAGCCGGGAAUGGAAAGCCCGGUGCAAGCGAGGUAGUCGCAGGAUUGGAAAAUCCGUCCUGCGUAAGACGAAGGCGUGAUGCGGAGCGAAACAAAGUAGCGAAGCUGCGGCCCCUUCCUGUCGAGAAAAGCCGCUAUCGUGUAGCAAGGGCCCGUACCGUAAACCGACACAGGUGGAUGAGGAGAGGAUCCUAAGGCCGGCGGGAGAAGUGUUGUUAAGGAACUCGGCAAAAUGACUCCGUAACUUCGGGAGAAGGAGUGCUGCGCAAGCAGCCGCAGAGAAAUGGCCCAAGCAACUGUUUAGCAAAAACACAGGUCUAUGCGAAACCGAAAGGUGAGGUAUAUGGGCUGACGCCUGCCCGGUGCUGGAAGGUUAAGGGGAGAGCUUAGCGCAAGCGAAGGUUUGAACUUAAGCCCCAGUAAACGGCGGCCGUAACUAUAACGGUCCUAAGGUAGCGAAAUUCCUUGUCGGGUAAGUUCCGACCCGCACGAAAGGCGUAAUGAUUUGGGCACUGUCUCAACAACACACCCGGUGAAAUUGAAAUACCAGUGAAGAUGCUGGUUACCCGCGCCAGGACGGAAAGACCCCAUGGAGCUUUACUCCAGCCUGAUACUGGGAUUCGGUAUUGCAUGUACAGGAUAGGUGGGAGGCUAAGAACUUAUGGCGCCAGCCGUAAGGGAGCCAUUGUUGGGAUACCACCCCUACAGUACUGGGUUUCUAACCUGCGCCCGUGACCCGGGCGGGGGACAAUGUCAGGCGGGGAGUUUGACUGGGGCGGUCGCCUCCGAAAGGGUAUCGGAGGCGCUCAAAGGUCUCCUCAGGAUGGUUGGAAACCAUUCAGAGAGUGCAAAGGCAGAAGGAGGCUUGACUGCGACACCGACGGGUGGAGCAGGUACGAAAGUAGGACUUAGUGAUCCGGUGGCAUAACGUGGGAUUGCCAUCGUUCAACGGAUAAAAGCUACCCUGGGAUAACAGGCUUAUCACUCCCAAGAGUUCACAUCGACGGAGUGGUUUGGCACCUCGAUGUCGGCUCAUCGCAUCCUGGAGCUGGAGCAGGUUCCAAGGGUUGGGCUGUUCGCCCAUUAAAGCGGUACGCGAGCUGGGUUCAGAACGUCGUGAGACAGUUCGGUCCCUAUCCGGCGCGGGCGCAGGAUAUCUGAGAGGAGCUGUCCUUAGUACGAGAGGACCGGGAUGGACCGUCCGCUGGUGGACCGGUUGUCAUGCCAAUGGCACGGCCGGGUAGCCAAGACGGGGAGGGAUAAACGCUGAAGGCAUCUAAGCGUGAAGCCCCCCUCAAGAUGAGAUAUCCAGACUCGAAAGAGUGAGAGACCCCUUAGAGACGAUGAGGUAGAUAGGGCAGAGAUGGAAGCACAGUGAUGUGUGGAGUUGACUGUUACUAAUCGGUCGAUAGCUC
RNAcentral lists this ribosomal RNA (1471 nucleotides) under metagenome. RNAcentral's name for it is "bacterial LSU rRNA". It matches the Rfam family "Bacterial large subunit ribosomal RNA", at positions 1430 to 2925 of the family's 2925-position model. The record is from RNAcentral.